GACGAACGCUGGCGGCGUGCUUAACACAUGCAAGUCGAACGGAAAGGCCCUGCUUUUGUGGGGUGCUCGAGUGGCGAACGGGUGAGUAACACGUGAGUAACCUGCUCUUGACUUUGGGAUAACUUCAGGAAACUGGGGCUAAUACCGGAUAGCAGCUGCUGCUGGAUGGUGGGGGGUGGAACGUUUCGGCGGUUGGGGAUGGACUCGCGGCUUAUCGGCUUGUUGGUUGGGUAGUGGCAUACCAAGGCUGUGACGGGUAGCCGGCCUGGGAGGGGGACCGGCCACAAGGGUACUGCGAUACGGCCCAGACUCCAACAGUAGGCAGCAGUGGGGAAUAUUGCACAGUGGGCGGAAGCCUGAUGCAGCAACGCCGCGUGCGGGAUGACGGCCUUCGGGUUGUAAACCGCUUUCGCCUGUGACGAAGCGUGAGUGACGGUAAUGGGUAAAGAAGCACCGGCUAACUACGUG
Molecule: ribosomal RNA, 468 nt
Filed under: uncultured bacterium
Lineage: Bacteria
Description: partial 16S ribosomal RNA
Rfam family: Bacterial small subunit ribosomal RNA
Source: RNAcentral